CACUUGGCCUAACACAUGCAAGUCGAACGGCAGCGCGGGGCAACCUGGCGGCGAGUGGCGAACGGGUGAGUAAUAUAUCGGAACGUACCCUGGAGUGGGGGAUAACGUACCGAAGGUUACGCUAAUACCGCAUACGAUCUAAGGAUGAAAGCAGGGGACCGCGAGGCCUUGUGCUCCUGGAGCGGCCGAUAUCUGAUUAGCUAGUUGGUGGGGUAAAGGCCUACCGAGGCAUCGAUCAAUAGCUGGUCUGAGAGGACGACCAGCCACACUGGAACUGAGACACGGUCCAGACUCCUACGGGAGGCAGCGGUGGGGAAUUUUGGACAAUGGGGGCAAGCCUGAUCCAACAGUGCCGCGUGAGUGAAGAACGCCUUCGGGUUGUGAAGCUCUUUUGUCAGGGAAGAAACGGUGAGGGCUAAUAUCCUUUGCUAAUGACGGUACCUGAAGAAUAAGCACCGGCUAACUACGUGCCAGCAGCCGCGGUAAUACGUAGGGUGCAAGCGUUAAUCAGAAUUACUGGGCGUAAUGCGUGCGCAAGCGGUUUUGUAAAUCUGUCGUGAAGUCCCCGGGCUCAACCUGGGAAUUGCGAUGGAGACUGCAAGGCUACAAUCUGGCACAGGGGAGUAGAAUUCCACGUGUAGCAUUGAAGUGCGUAUAGAUGUGGAGGAACACCGAUGGCGAAGGCAGCCCCCUGAGUCAAGAUUGACGCUCAUGCACGACAGCGUGAGGAGCACACAGGAUUAGAUACCCUGGUAGUCCGCGCCCUACACGAUGUCUAC
Molecule: ribosomal RNA, 779 nt
Filed under: uncultured Oxalobacteraceae bacterium
Lineage: Bacteria; Pseudomonadati; Pseudomonadota; Betaproteobacteria; Burkholderiales; Oxalobacteraceae
Description: bacterial SSU rRNA
Rfam family: Bacterial small subunit ribosomal RNA
Source: RNAcentral